This 443-nucleotide ribosomal RNA is filed under the name uncultured bacterium. RNAcentral's name for it is "partial 16S ribosomal RNA". It matches the Rfam family "Bacterial small subunit ribosomal RNA", at positions 338 to 795 of the family's 1533-position model. The record is from RNAcentral.
CCUACGGGUGGCAGCAGUGGGGAAUAUUGGGCAAUGGGCGCAAGCCUGACCCAGCAACGCCGCGUGAAGGAAGAAGGCUUUCGGGUUGUAAACUUCUUUUCUCAGGGACGAAGAAAGUGACGGUACCUGAGGAAUAAGCCACGGCUAACUACGUGCCAGCAGCCGCGGUAAUCCGUAGGUGGCAAGCGUUAUCCGGAUUUACUGGGUGUAAAGGGCGUGUAGGCGGGACUGCAAGUCAGAUGUGAAAACUAUGGGCUCAACCCAUAGCCUGCAUUUGAAACUGUACUUCUUGAGUGCUGGAGAGGCAAGCGGAAUUCCGGGUGUAGCGGUGAAAUGCGUAGAUAUACGGAGGAACACCAGUGGCGAAGGCGGAUUGCUGGACAGUAACUGACGCUGAGGCGCGAAAGCGUGGGGAGCAAACAGGAUUAGAUACCCGAGUAGUC